This is a long non-coding RNA of Cygnus olor (mute swan), 5890 nucleotides long. RefSeq lists it as uncharacterized. NCBI's taxonomy places the organism in Eukaryota, Metazoa, Chordata, Aves, Anseriformes, Anatidae. The transcript has 3 exons. The record is from RefSeq and is a predicted model, not a curated record.
CGAGCCGAGCCGCCGGGGAGAGCCCCCCCCCAAGCCAGCCGGCGUCCCGAGGGUCGUGUGGACGUCCCGGCUGGAAAGCGGGCAGCUUUUUUUGGGGGACAGCCCUUUGAACUCCUGCCAGCCUUUAACGACUCGGAGGGCGGGCGAGGUGCGGAGUAAAAUAUUGCCGGGGUUAAGAAAAAGACGGGGCUCUGGAAUAUUUGCAACCAGAAAAACUGUGGAGCUCCCAGAAAGGGUGCACAAACCAGCCAUCUUGAAUAUUUUAAUCUCUGGCAAGUGUUUCUUUGGAACAAAAUGGAUGUUGGAGGGAAGCGGCAUAGUUAACAUUGCUGUAGCCUUCCAUUUCUCACACCAUCCCUCUCGCAGCAUUCAGCUGGCACGAAGCAAUGAAACUGGAGGGAACGCCACAGCCUUUCCUCUGCGUGCAGAGGUCAUAAAUAAUCGCGGUAUGAGCACUGCGGGCUGGAAAUUUAGUACCUCUCUAAGCGAUGGUGCUUUCUUUACCCACGAUUUAUAUUGAUUUGUGGGCAUCAAUAUAAGUCACAUGUAAAGCUGUAAAAUCACUUUCAGAGCUCAUUCGACAUAAACAAUUGGUCUGGAUUCGCCAAGAAUACUUUUGCAAAGAUUUUUUUUAUCCUGAUUUUUUUUAAUCCCUUUUUAUCAUACAGUACGUCGUUACUGUCACUGAAGUCAAAGGAGGUGUUCCCUCUGAUCACCCUGGAAAUUGCAUCAGGCCCUGGGCUGAGAGUUUGUUGCGUAUUCGUGAUAUGAACAAAUUAUUCUAAGGAUUCAUUGUUUGGCCAUAAAAACCACUCUAGGCUGAAAUUAGGCUCAGAAAGUCCCCAGGAUUUUUUCCACUUUAACUAAAAUGGAUUAACAGCUGUCCUUUUUUUUUUUUUUUUCCUUCCAAAACUGAUGGUGAAAACAAAUACAACAUGCUGAUUCAGAUGCUUUUUGUUUCCAUAAAACUACGAAAUUGCUUUAUUAUUAUUAUUAUUAUUUUCCUCCCUAAGAAUUUUAAGUCCCUUAAUGCUGGUUAGGCCUUUCCAAAUUAAAAAAAAAAAAAUUAUUUAAAGGCAAAAAGUGUAGCAGCCGACUGACAGAGGGGUGUGGUGAAAGCAGAGACAAUAAGGCAGCGGUUCAGAUGCAAGGCUUUGAAAGGCUCCUUCUGAGGGCUUAUUUAUUUAUUUACGUUCUUUUUGCUGUUUGCUUACUUUGGACCUACUCUUUCUGCAGAUAAGCUCAGCAGAAACAGCUCGGUUAAAAAGCCAAAGACACCUAAUAAAAAUAACGCAGAGGUGGCUGGAGACCAUUGUCUAAAGAUUAAAGAAUAGGACUGCAGGGCAAAACUGCUUGAUUUUAUUGACUUGCUGAUUUGCUUAAUGUCAAUUUAGGCAAAACUUCUUACCCUAGGUGUUAAGGCUAAGGUUACUGUUAAGACCUGUAUUGUUCUUGUUAAAGUUUCUAAAUUUUUAAGGCAGUUUUGGAGUUCUGAUACACAGUUCCUGAUAUUUUCAGUACAUUAAUACAGAUUUAACUUCUGUAUCUGAACAUUUUUGCUCUAAUUUCUCUGUGCCAUAUUUUCCCCUGUGGACGGAUGCCUUAAAAUAUAUCUAGCAUCUGUUUCAUAGGCAUCCUGAUGUUUAUACAGCAUUUCUUGAGACUAUUUGGAUCAGAAGGCACCAUGAAGUCACGCAGCUUACCGGUCAUUUUUUUUUCACAAUUGGAACAUGUAGGAACCUCAAAAGAACAGUGGUUUUGAGAAGCAGUAAGCAAAAUUACUAAAAUUCAAAUGACAAGCCCCAUCAGAGGCAAAAAUUGCAAACUUGUAUUUGUACAAAAAUAUUGCAGAGACUAGAAACAAUAGGCUAGAAAAGCAGCUGCUGACUUCCUAAAGGACAUCGUAUCCUACAAAUGAAAACUGCAUUCUGUUAGCUCAAAUUGUUAGUGUUAUCUACAAAACAGGAAAAUCUCAACUAGACUGAAUAAUACUGGGAAUUUGGGGACUGCUGUAUGGCCCAGAGAGAAAAGGUAUAUCAAAUUAGUUGGAAGCUUAAGGAACUGCAUUUAAAUGUCAAGAACCCCCAGUUUAUGUGGGAAAGGUGUGUAGGAUGCCAGAGAGGAAACAGGGUGCAAAGAAAGGACUGCAGAGAUAGACCUCUUUGUUUUGUUCAUCAGAUGUAAAGGACAAAGAAAUUUGAUCAAAACAGGUAAGUUUUUUUUUUUAUGAUGACUCAAAUGAUCCGUUUUGCUUGAAGAGAAACAACAGUAUAGUAUUAUCUCCUGUAAAAAAUAAAGCUUUUAUUCAUAAAGUUCAUUUCCCCUCAUAUACCUGAAAUGUUGUUACAUGAGACAAACUCAGAUAUUUUCCUCUGUUCAGUAUUGUAUUCCCUGAUCUUCAUCAUAAGCUUUGGUGACAAAACCUGAGAGCUAGAUUGCCCCUUUACAGGCGUGGGUGAACAGGCAGAGAAAGCUGCAGGACUACUUCUAUCCACACAUUCCAGAGGGGCAAGGGAAUUCUGGCAACUUCCAAAUAACCGAGGCCAAAGGGGUUGCGUGAGGCUCCAGGAGCAGAAGGUGGAGCUUCCCCACGGCAGCCAGCCUGGCGGACGCGCAAGCAGCAGUGGCUGUCCUUGACUCCUCUAUUAUGAACACUUCACUCCCGGAAAUCAGGGGAGGUUGUCUUAGUCUCAGGGGCUGAAUGGACUGAUCCUGAAGGUGAGCACUGCUGUGAUACUUCCUCCAGGAAAAAAGGCGUAUUAUAGAAAAACUCAGCACAUCAUCGUCCUCUCGAGGAAAAAUUAUUUUGUCACUCAGCCAUUAGGCUACCGUGUGCAAGAGCAGUGUGCUGCUCUGCCAGCCCUUUGGGGCAUUUCUCUUAGUGCGAGGAGGAGAGCUGCAGACGUGCUGAAACCACAAGAUCGAUUAUAAAGCCGUGUGUGUCCUGGGAACAUCUGGAAGGUGAGCUGCUGCAGCAUCGAUGAGAUCAGCGGAGCGGGACAUUCUUUGUUAUCUUUACCUUUUGGGGAGCUGUAGGACUGAUGAACAUGCCACCGAAUACGUUUUCUUUCUUUAAAUAUUGUUGGUAAUAUGUUAAAUCCUAUUCCUUCUCUCUCUCUGACAUUGUUAGGCUUCCUUUUGAAAGAUGAGCAGGUUUGGGCUGUGCCAUUUACUCAUCCACAGAGGAACAAUGGCUUGUGAAAUGAUAACAGGUGAUUUCUGGGGUUUGGUGCUUUGGAUACUCUGCUGAUUUAGACAAUAACUCAAAUUGCUCUCCUCAGCCUUUUUGCAGCGUGGACCUAGGUGUCGUAUUCGUUUGGAAAGGAGAAUCUUCCAAGGUGUGUGCAGGUGGAGGUGAGCACACAGCAGCUGGGGAAGCGGCGGCUGGCGUGGCUUCCCAGGGAUGCAGCGCGGUUGCUGAAGACGAGACCUCCAGCCCCUCCAGCUCCAGGGACCCACAGCUCUCAGAGGCAAAACCUGCCAAGCCCCGAGCCCUCCGUGCAGUGGGCUGCUGAGUCCAAAGAAUAAUGAAGCUUUCGUGGCGGUCGCUCCAUCAGUGCCACGUCCCUGCUGCCCACCGCACAGUCAUGAGCUAGCCCGUCGGGAUCUCAAAACGAAACCACCUCUCCUCUCUGUGAUCCCGUCUCCUUUCUUCGCUGCCUUUCGGUGCGUUUUGAACAGUUUUUGAGCCUGGUCAGGUGAUGCAGGCAUCCCUGCUGCUCCUGCCCGCUCGCAGCGCCUGUGAAUGAGCUCUCCUGGAGCAGUGUUUCCUGCCUGGCAGUGACACGAGAGCUGCCUCGCAAGAUGGAUUUUCUCACUCCUUCUCUCUCCUGCUCUCUUCAUUUCUCCUUAGUCUCUCCGCUGGCUUUUGCUUCCGAGAUCCCUGACUCCCUUUGUGCCCCUCUCCCCUUUUUCCUUUCUUUCUUCCAUUUUUCCUGUUUCUUGUAUUCUCUCUUCACUUAUUUUUCUCUCUAUUAUCUUUCCUGUCCUCCUCUGCAUUCUUUCAAUCCCAGCAGGGCUGGCGCAUACAAAUUGACCCCCUCCCAGUCAGUAAUGUGAUCGAAGCUCUUUGUGGCUCCUGCUAUCUCUAUGGUAACUAUCAGGGGGGUCUCGAGAGUGGUGGUAGACCCAAUGCACCGGCCCACAUACUGUUGUUCUCGCUGACAGUACAUACUGACCACAUGGGCCUGACUGCUCAUUUAAAACUACUUAUUAUUUUAAAAAAAUGCUGGUGUCUUAGAGUGCUUAAGUGGGAAAACUGACCGCAUGCCUGAGCGCAAAUAGUUGUUGGGUUCUCAGGGUUUUGAAAAUGGUUUCUGCAUUCAGAGCUACUUUCCUUGGCAGGUCCGUUGUUGUUUUCUAACCAUUACAGAGCAGUGCGAUGGCUGUUUUAAGGACUCUGGAAACAAGGGUUACACGGCAAAACUGAGUAUCCACGUUGUGGUGGUAGCCAUUGGCAGUGCAAUUGCUGCGUGGCUAUAACCAGCAGAGCUUAACAAAGUAUGGAACAUAGGGCUGUGCAUUUUAAAUGCUGGGGACACCUGCCUUUCACUGUGCUAGCUUGUGUACAGCACACCUCUCAGGUGGCUGCUGUAGCGCAGGUGUUAAGAACGAAACUGUAGGGAAGCAUUAUGCUGAUAAUAUGUGUGUUUGUCCACGAUUUGGGAUUUGUGCAAGCAUGAAAUGACUGUAGGAUCUGACUGAAGGAACCACAGAAAAACCUGUGGUGUGGACAGAAGAAAUGGAUCCAGUCCCGUUUGACUGCCAGGGUUUCCUCAGUGAGCCCUUGAAGCCAGCGGGAAUAUGGGGAACCAGAGAGACUGCAUGAAACCUAAGGCUGCAUAUAUUUCACCAGAUCCACUUGCCCAAGGGAGAAGCCCUAGAACUUUUGAAGAGGUUAAAUUCAUAAUACAAAAUUAAUUUCCUCCAAAUACAUGUGGAAAUUACUCUUUGAGUAGUACAUCUGAUAUUAAAACUGUAUUUCUUGUCAGGACUGCACUCUUUAAAAUCACUGAUUUUUAUUCUUAGUUUUUGCCCAAAGCAAAUUUCUUCUACAAUAUUUAUGUCCAGAAAAAAGUGGUUCUGUUUCUAACUGAGUUUGUUAAUUCCAUUAAUAGCAUAUGCUGGAAGGCAGGUAUAAUUAAAAUCUAUGGUAAAUUCUUCUGCAAGAUUAUCUGACUUCUUAAAAUAAAUUGUGUUUCAUUCGUCGUACAGCUUUGUAGGAAUUUCAGCGUAGGAAAAUGUUGACUAGCCAUGUUAUAUCCUAACGUGUAUUGCUGCAUCACUUAGGUUGGGCAAUGUUGGCCAGUCAUUUGCAUUUUACUGGCCUUUCUGCUGUUUGAAAAGGUACCACAAAAUCCACACUGGCCUAUUUGAGUCUCUAAAUCUCUCAAGCAGUAACACCGUGUUGUUGACACUGAAUCAUCAGUUUGCUCAGAUCCUCGAAAAGAAUAAACUUCAGAAGAUGAUCAUCAGGCUUUUCAGCUGGCUGUACGAUCCAUAUUCACAACUUUAUUAAUUGUUUGGUCCAUGUGGAUGCAUGUCGACUGUGGGUUUUACAUCUACCUACCUUUAAAUAAAGCAAGAUAUAUACAUAAACGGCACUUUUUGGUGAAAUCCAGUCAGCGGUGAAAUGGUUAACACUGUGGGCAUUUAAGUGGUCAUAAUUAACAGUCCAUUAAGAUGAAUGGAGAAAGUUCUCACUUAGCCAUGCUAUUGUUUCAUUCUGUCUGUUUACAGACUCAACGAGACAACACUGUGUGGCUUGACAUGCCCGGGUUUUUGCACCAGGGAAGCUAGGAAUCACGUUUUAAAUUAAAUAAAAACCUUAAAUAAUAAUAAUAAAAAAGCCUUUGGAAACACAUUUGCUACUUUGAGGGACUUCUAGUGU